AUUGAACGCUGGCGGCAGGCUUAACACAUGCAAGUCGAGCGGGGUGAUGGUGCUUGCACUAUCACUUAGCGGCGGACGGGUGAGUACUGCUUAGGAAUCUGCCUAUAAGUGGGGGACAACAUCUCGAAAGGGAUGCUAAUACCGCAUACGUCCUACGGGAGAAAGCAGGGGAUCACUUGUGACUCCUCGCUAAUAGAUGAGCCUAGGUCGGAUUAGCUAGUUGGUGGGGUAAAGGCCUACCACGGCGACGAUCUGUAGCGGGUCUGAGAGGAUGAUCCGCCACACUGGGACUGAGACACGGCCCAGACUCCUACGGGAGGCAGCAGUGGGGAAUAUUGUACAAUGGGGGGAACCCUGAUCCAGCCAUUCCGCGUGUGUGAAGAAGGCCUUAUGGUUGUAAAGCACUUUAAGCGAGGAGGAGGCUCUUUUGGUUAAUACCCAAGAUGAGUGGACGUUACUCGCAGAAUAAGCACCGGCUAACUCUGUGCCAGCCGCCGCAGUAA
Molecule: ribosomal RNA, 503 nt
Filed under: uncultured bacterium
Lineage: Bacteria
Description: partial 16S ribosomal RNA
Rfam family: Bacterial small subunit ribosomal RNA
Source: RNAcentral